ACCCUGAGAUCAUGACCUGAGCUGAAACCAAGAGUUGGACGCUUAACUGACUGCGCCACCCAAGCACCCCUUUUUUUGAGAAAAGCAGUAAGGGGCCACCACCAUUGGGUCCCCAGACCUACCAGGGUCUGGGAGGGAAUUCUGCAGUCACUGCUAAAUCUAGGCUAUCCUGGUCCAACCCCUGUUGAGUGACCCGGGUUGACAGUAAAUUGUAUUGAUGACAUGUCCAGCAAAGUUGGAGUUUCAAGGAUUAGGUAGAGUCCUUUCCCCCUGGGAAAGAUGUGUUGGUGACAGAUUCCUGGGGCUCUCCUCUGCUGCUGGACCUAAAUAGAGUCCCCAGGUGCACAGAACUUUGUCACCAGGCUUUCUCUGUUCAGGGCACCAUGAAGGAAAAGGAAUUUUUCCUGCAGCUGGUAUUUUCCAAGAUGGUCAGCGGCAUUUGUGUCUCGAAUGGCACCAUGUAUGGGAAGGCAUAUGAGAAGGUAUGAAGUGCUAAAGUUGGGAGGAAACAUAGGUGGUUAAAACCCAUGGACUUUGGUUAGAAAGUUGACUGAGGCACCCUGAUUAUGACAGCCCUUGGGCUCUGGGCUCCAGUGCCAUGUUUGAAGUGGAAGGUAUGAUUUCCCUUUGGGCCCCAUGUGUUUAAAGGAUGGAGGGGAUAUUUGUGCACGAGCAGCCCAGACCCUGCUGGCCCACCAGGCCCCAGCAAGGAGGAGGGCAGAUGGCCUCCCCUCCCUGUCAGCUCCUGGUCCGAAACACUGCUCUUGCAUCCUGGCAGGCAGUCUGUUCCUCCCUGAACAAGACAACGAAGGACUGUUUCCUGAGAAGCUGUGAGCUGUUUGGACAAGUCCACCCACCCUUUUUACAGUCAGCCCUUGCCUUUGUCGGACUUGCCACAAGUGGAGACCGACUGCUAGCCCAAGACUCUGCCCUGUGGGCAGGCUCCUCCUCCUUCCUCUCCACUGGGCCCUGGUGGACAGAUGGCCCAGUGAAGUGUCCGGGGAUUCUAUGCACAGUCUGUGGGUUGUUGUCACCGGAAAAUUCCAUUCAUUUAAAGGAAAAAAUAAAGUCUGCCACAGGCUCCAUCUCUGGAGCUAGAAAAGUCCUUCAUCAAAGUAAACGCACCUUACCAAGUCCUGGUGUCAACCAAGGAGCAACAAAGGGAAGCCAAUACCUGGUUUGUAAGGGUGCUCAGCUGGGGGUCUCCAAGGACACUUUGAGGCCGCGGCCCUGGUUAGACACGGGGGCGGGGGGCCCAUUCCUUAUCUAAAGGCGAGGUACAGGGUGCUGUGGGGCCUUCGAUCUGGGGCUGUUCUAGAAUACAGCCCUGCCUUGUCUUGUAGGACAUUCAGAAAAAUAUUCAGUCUUAUUUAAAUCAUAUGUGACUUUUUAAAUUAAGGUGAAGUUCACGUAACCUAAAAGCAACCCUUUCAGACUGAACAAUCCAGCGAGCUUUAGGACCUUCACAGAGCCGUGCAGCACACUCCUGUCUAGUUCCAAAACAUUUCUUCAUCCCAGAAGGAACCCCGACCCAUCAAGCAAUUGCUCCCCAUUUCCCUCCACGCCCCCCCCCCAUUCCUGGCAAGCACCGAUCUGCUUAUCUGCUUUCUGGCUCCAUGGAUUUAUAAUUAGGCAAUAUUUUUCAGAAUCCCAAUGACUCUGUUUUUUGAACUAGAAAACAAUCGGGAAACAUCAGCACGUUAAAUAAAUAAGUAUGAAUAGCAAUAUAAUCGCCCCCUUGUAGUGUUUUGUAGGUUUCAGAUGGCUCCACAUUCAUGGUCUUGCUCAGAAGCCGGGAGACAAAUGUUACUGAAUGUGUUGGAAAUUAUCAGCUCCAGGAGAAAUUCCUUUUCCCUUACACAGUGGCGUGUCUGCUACACUGGCAAAUACAGUCGCUACCUUGAUCCACUGCAUAAGGCGUGCGUUUGUUUCUCAAGUAAAGAUGGAAUAAACCUGAAAAGACAGACUCUGUUCACUGGUGAAAACAGAUGUCUUUUUCAUGUUGUAAACACAGGAUAACGGCAUUUAAAUUCAUUUUCAAAAUCGAUGUGUAGACGGAGACUGUCACCACCAUAUUCCCACGGAUAUGAGGGAGAAAAUCUCUUAUUCAUUGAAAAAUAUUUUUGGGUCCCUACUAAGUGCGUGACACCAUGAAAGUCACCACUGGGGACACAGUUGUCUAGGACACUAUUUAUACAAGUGUUAUAGAAGGCCGUUCUUUGCUCCACGAUCAAAUAUUUUCAUUUGAUGUAUCAGUUACUUACAGACUAGAAGCUUCCCUCGAGGUUCUCGCCUGAUGGGAGUGAAAGGAUGGGGAAGGCGGGCAUUUGGUCUGGGGUUUGGCCUGUGGCAGGUGGAGGUUUCAAAGCCAAGUCCACAGCAGGAGGGCCCUGCGCUAGAAGGGGGGGCAGUACACGUCUGCACAAGCACGUGCGCAGAGGGAGCUGUCUGAGCAAAGACCCUUGUGCGAGGGGAAAAUGGGGGGCAGCUCCGGGGCCUGGGAAGACGUCCUCAGUAUCUGAAGCAUGGGCUGAUUUAGGGGGUGAUGGAAAUUUAACCUGAGAUCCUAAGGACCCGACAGGCUUCGUUUUUGUCAUUAGUUGGUCAGACAGGCAACGUUGGGGAGAUGGACGUGAUAAGGAAGCAUGCGCCUGUGCGCGUGCGCGCGCACGCAUGCGCGCACACACACUCCCUGCCAUUGUUAACGACAGGGGAUCGAGUAAUUACUGAGUCUCAAAGAAGACUUAGAAGGCGUCACGGGUGCAGGUACCCCUGGGACUUCCUCUGAUCUAGGGAAACUUCCCAGAACUUGUGGCACUUAAGCCAAGAUCCCAAAAGUAAGCAGAAAUGAGAGCUUUUAUUUUGAGGUCUUGGGAGCUGCAGAGUGGUUUUGAAUGGGGAGUGACACAGCGAUGGUCUCAUUCGAGGAAGCUGGAGGCACCAGCUGUGCAGGCCAGCGGUGGGUGGGGAAAGGAAGGAAGGAGGCUGGGACGAGCAGGGAGGAGACCCUGACUACAGCACGGGAGACCGCCAGAGCUCGCAGUGCGGUCAGAAUGGCAAGAAGGUGCUCCUGGGGAGUCCAAGAUAUCUGGUUCCAGGAACCAAACCCAGAGGAGGAGGAGGGCCAGAGGAGGAGCGGGGUGGGGGUGGGGAGCAUGUUAAUUCAGGACUUGCAGGUGCGCACGUGCUGCUGCGGGCGAAGGUGGGCUUGCAGCUUGGAGCCCAGGCAGGCCAGGAGACCCAGAGGAGGAAUAUCCUUCUGGAGAAAACCACACAGCCUUGCAGACGGGUCCUGCCACUAGUGCAUGCUUCCAGCCUGGCCUGAGCCUCACCCUUUAUGCUUUCCUGGCCAGUUCUCUUUCGUGUUCCUCAGAAAGGGGGUGCUCAAACUGCCACCUCUCUCUCUCAAAUCUUCUCCAACCCCCUCACUUACCACAGAUGACAUCACGGCCACUUCGCAGAAAACAGAGGCCAUCAGAAGGGGAUCUCCUCACCCUGUCAUCACUAAAUCUGCAACCCUAUCAGCUUGUCUGCCGCCUUCCCUCCUUCAGCUGUUUAGCAGAGACGCUCUCUCCUGACCGCCCCCCCCCCCAGCUCACCACACCGCCCAGCUCUGGUUGCCAUGGGGUCCAUGUUCUCAGGGAGCCUCGGGAGCCUGUGUCCUCCCCUUCCUCUCCAAGGACCCCUUGCUUUCCCACCAGCAUGAAACGAGGGCAAGUCUCACCCAUCUUAAAAACGUCAAGAACCUUCCUGGACCCCUCCUCCCAGGGCAGCUUCCCAGCCGCAGAGGGCCGAGGGGGUGAUAUCUUCCCUCGGUGGGCUCCUUCCUCACCCCCCCUUCCCUUACACCCCUGCAGUUGGCUCCCCUACAGUUGGCCGCUGCUUCCCUAUGACCAAACCCCACUGGCGCAGCCUGUAUUCCCUGGACCACUGCACAGCAGCCGGCCCUGCUACCGACUCCUUCUUGGGUCUGCUGUUUCCUCUGCCUCCCUCUUCCUGCGCAUGACCCUCGACUCUUCCUCACUGCCCAUCUCAGGGCAGCACCCCACCCCGUCCUUCUCACUUUUUAGGCAGGUUUCAAAUCUGAAUGUUCUAGCCAGCCCUGCUGCCACCAUCCUCGUACACGGGCCACCACCCCUCGCCAGGACACCUACAGCCACCUCCACUCUGCACACUGCUGCCCAAACUGAUUUGGUGUGUUCACAGUCUGUUCCCUGCUGCUGUAGGAUCUGGAAUCCUACCACCCAACUGAUUAUGUACAGGUAAGCUUGGAACACUGGACACCGGCCAUUGUAUGCACCUGGGCCUGGGGCAAGAGCACCACAAGCCUCUCAGAUACAGGAACCAGACAGACAGUGGGCUUUCCUGGACGGGGCAGAAGAGGAAUCCUUUGGGAUACAUCUGCACCAAGAAUCAGGUUUCAAAAGCAAUGGUGCAUGAGUACUCAGUAAACAUUGACUGGAAUUGAAGGAACAUUGAAGGAAUGAGUGGGAGCAGCUCCCGGGACUCCUAGAAGAACAUGGGCCAGGCUGGGCCAAGCCUGGGUGCCCCUAUCCCCAACCUCUCCAUGUUGGCAGUACAAGCUUCCAGGGGAAAACCAAAAACCAAGAACCAAGCAGGAGAAGGAUGAAAACCCCACCUUCCCUCUCCUGGGGAGCACUCUUCAGCCACGCCCUGGAAAUCUGUCUCCGUGGAGGGAGUUUCCAUCUCCAGCAAGGGAAGAGGUUUAUCAGAAGGACCUGGAGGUUAGUCAUUAGGAUGGGUGACAGCCAGAAUUGGAGGGGUCAGAAUAGAAAAUCUAGAAGAAUCUUCAGUCUUACUUGUAAGAGUGACUUCAGUGAGAUGAGGGGGCAGAGGCUAUGCCUAAUUUAGUAGGAGAACUUGGGCAAGUCUUCUCCCCAUUCUAAGCCUCAGUUUCCCCAUCUCCAAAAUGGGAGUGAUGACUCCCACCUCCCAGGGUAUCGAGGAGCAAAUGCUACAACCAUUGUGAAAGCUUUAACGGAGACCUGGCCUGUGGGAGAUGCUUCGUAAAUGCCAGCUCUCUUUCCCUCUCUCACAAGGCAAGUACCCCCAAAGCAUGCACUUGCCCCAGGGCACUCAGGACUGAGGACGAGGUGGGGGCCCUGUCAGCAGGGGAGGCGGGGACUGUAAAAAUAAGGGUUUAGCAAAUAGCCCAGCGCCGUGGCCCUCAUGCUUGCCUCCUAAUUAGCUCAAGUUAAUGAACAGCAUGAUUCAUGAUUCGCUGCUUCUCAAGGGUGCCCUUGCUGUUUGCCUUCCUCGCAUCUGGGCCCCACAGCUGCUCCCACCCCCAUUCUACCGACUGCAUCACUCCUCAGCCACACAGCGGGCCUGGACAGCAGCCACAUGUGGGGGAUCGGCUCGCCUCGGCCCCCUGGGCCUUAAGCCCUGCCCUGGUCCGGUUCCCAAACAGGCAGAGCCAGAGGGGCGUCCCAGCCAGUGCUGAGGAGCUCAGUCUAGAAAGCCCUGAGCUAGCUCCUGCACUACACACUUUUGUUUUUUUUAAACAGAUGAUAGACUUGCCAUAGACCGUGUAGGGCAUUAUCUGUGGAGUCCAGGCUAGCGGGCUAGGCCUCCCAGUGCAGGGGCUCACCACGUCCCCUCACCUUCUUCCUUCCUUGGGCCCCUCCACACCUGAGGCGGGGCCUUCUCUUGGUAUGAGGGUACCGGCUGGGCUUGCAGGGCCCCGUUCUCAGAAAAUGGGCUCGUGGGAGAGGCUUCCUGAACCUUCCAGCUCCAUCUCUCUCUGUCCACAAGGUGGGCAGAGACCGAAAUUAAAAGGGUCUACGAUGUUCCUCAGCCCCAGAGCCAGGCCGCCCUACAAAGAACCUUCACGUCCACAAUGGCGCCCUCUCACUUCUCUACUCCACCGACGCCACCUCCCACGCCUGCCACCAUGACACCUGGCUGGGGCGGGAGGAGGAGAGUCACGCGGAGUGCACAGCCCCUGUCUUCAGGAUCUCAGACUUCAUCAAACAAGUCAUCCUCACCAUAUGUUCUCCGGAGUUCUAGUUCCUCUGUCCUGAAACACCUUAAUGAAGUCCUUACAUUUAAGGCAUGGCUCUUGUCUUGAGCAAUUUGAAGGACGUCAUGAUGGGUCCCCAGCAACGCCUCAGUAUCCUCAUGGAGCAAAGCCCGGGGGGUGAGGCCUGCUCCCCACCCAGGAGUGGUUGUCUGGGGAGCUGAGGCUCAGAGUGAGGACACUGUCUUGUCCUGGUUGCAGAGGACACUGAGGUGGGGCUGCCUCGGGCUUCAGAGUCCUAGCAUUACUCUCCAUGCCUUCCGUGUCCUGACCAUGCCCACAGUAAGUAUGGGGAAACUGAUGCUUCAGCCCUAUUUAGUAAGUGCCAGGACAGUCUAGUUUGCGUGUUGUUGUGCUUAUGUUAGCACGUUCAGCCCGCACCUUAACUCCAAGAACAUAAAGAUAGGCAUUUCAAAACGCAUUAAAUUCAUACACGCCUUUACUGUGAUCCCAUUUCCGUCAAAUGCUCAGAAAUGGGACACAUGGGGAAUGGAAAACAGACCGAAAAGAUUUGCUUGACUGGCACCCCGGAUUAGGGCGUACAGGAGAGUGUAAACACACACACCCUCCAUACACACGUACCCUGCAGGUCGGGCCCUGGAUUGGGGCCCUUUCAAAGCCGUGGAGGCUAAGCUGCCAAGUUCAGGGUUGCCCUGGGCCAUGCUGUCCUGGGGUGAGGCCAGGGAUGCUUGGGUCAGAGAAACACAGUGUCCUGGAGCUCCAUGAGAGCCCCUGCCCCCACUGUCCAGGCCUUCCAGAGAGGCACUGGGGCAAUCACCCUGAGCUGAGAAGGCCAGCGUCACUCAGGGGUUGGAAAAAGGGGGACGGUCCAAGGACUUCUAGCUCAUUGCUAAAUAAAGCUUAGCUCCUCUCUAGGGUCCCACCGCCCCUUUCCCCCAGAGUGGACUCCCAGCACAUGUUGGAGUGGCCCGGCUCCAGGGAGCAUUGAACUCACUCACCCUGCCAGCAGUGGGGCCAUGACGUGCUCGGCCUCUUACUCAUCCCGAAGUCAUCAGUCAUGUUUCCAGGAGUGUCGAACCUGUUGGCCCUGAGGCAUCCACGGCUGCCUACAUCCAUUGGUGUCACUGUCCGAUAGAAGAUUCUGCUGUGUGGACCGUGUGGACCACAUUGCCUUUUGGAGCCCGUCUCCGUCUUUUCUCCUGCAGACAAGAGCUCCCACGACAGAGGAAGCUGAGCUGGGGCUGAAGGGCGCACUGGUGCUGCUCCGAGCCUCCCCCACCGAGAGCACUGCUCACCUGGGCGCUGGGCGCUGAGCUGGGUGCUUUCUGUUCUUCAUUGCCUUGAAUCGUCACACUGGCCUUACGGAAUGGAUACUCUAACCACCUUUGGCAGGUCUCGCCAGGGAGUCCGGAAGGGAAGCUGCCCCUCCAGCAAGAGAAGGACAUUUUGACCCCGUGCCUCUUCCCACUGGUUUUGCAGAUGGGCCCUCCCUCUUCCCACCUGGCCCUCUUACACCAGCUCUAGAGAUGACUUCUGCUCUGCUCUGCUGGGCGCCCUGGGUGACUAACACAGGCAAGUGUGUGGGCCGCCCUUUGGCCUGGCCUCUACCCCACCUCCCUGCUCCAUGUCCUCAUCGCUGCCUCGUGGCUUCUGGGGGCAAGGCCUCGGGGAGGUGUGAUGGCUGCUGCCCCCCGACAGCUCCCUGCCGUGGGCGUGGGCUGAUGCAAGUUGGCAGCUUCUAUGACCCCUGCACCAGGUCGGGCCCAGCUUUGGACUUGAGCUUCACCCUCAGGGACCUGGCAGCUGCGGGGGAAGCGGUCAUAUACGCAUAAACAAGGCACAAGGCUCCAGUGGUCAGAGCCAGGGCAGAGGGCUGGCAGCAUGCUUUGGAGUGGGGGAGAGGAAAGGCAACUUAGGCUCAGAAAGCGGAGAAGAUUCUGCAGGAUGCGUACAAAAAGUUUGCACAGGUGGAGGUGGGUGAGGGCAGGACAGGGCUCUGCUUGGGGGCUCCCACGGGGAGGAAUGUGGGCGGCACUCUGUGUGUGUGUGUGCGUGUGUGUGUGUGUGUGUGUGAUUCCGGGAGAUGUUGACUUUGGUGAAGUCAGUGAGAUUUGGAGCUGGCAAAUGUCGUUUUGAAGAGUUCUUGGCGUAGGCGUGAGGGGCAGGUAUGCGCCUUGUGCGGGAAAGGGAAGAAGCCUUCAGUUGGCUUUUGUGUUCCUCAAACCAGUUUGCCCACAUCCUUGGCUUCUGUGCCCUACGAAGGACCUGUCUGGAGCCCUGCGUGUCUGGGCCUGCGGGGCAGCGGUGCCUACGUGAGGCUAGCAGUCUCUCCAGGAGCUCCCUGCGCGGGGUCCCCGGCCACUGGGGGAGUGCAGUGCCCCAUCCCCCUGCUGCUCACGGAGCCCAUGCCCUCAGCCAGCAGGCAUGGGCUCAGCCCCAGGCAGUCCCCGGUGCGGGCAGCACUCCUCUCUGUUGCUCGUUUUCUCUCCUCAGGGCCUGGCUCUAACACAAGGCUUCCUUCUCCUGCUCACACUCAGAGCUUUGCACGACCAGCAACACACACAAGCACUGGGUCUGGCAUGAAGGAAAACCUGGCUCUGCGAUCAGCCUCUGCCAUCUACCAGCUAUGUGGCCUUGAGCCUCAGUUAGCUCAUCUGUAAAUUGGGGCUAAUAACACUUAAUGGGACUCCUCAUGGGGUUUCAGGAGGAGCACGUGAGAUGAUGCAUGUGCAAACACUUCGUGGAGGGCUCCGCCAAUGGAAGGGAUGAUUAUUGCUGUUUUCAUGCCACACAUGACCCAAGCCACACUCACCCAAGAAGGGAAAAACAGGCCCUGAGCAUGUUCGUUUCACUCCCUCAGUAACUAUGAAGCCUACUGGGUGCUGGGCGCUGUUCCCAGCAUGUGGGAUAGACAAACAAAACCCAAGAUCCUUGCUGUCUUGGAGUUGGCAUUCUAGGGAGGGGGUUCCCCCACAUCUCAAUCCACCCAGCACUCAUUCGGACGUCUUGCCCACACCCACAAACCCAGCCGAGGAGGUCAGGCGACGUUGGGUGACCAGGAAUUCUCUUCCUGAGUACCUCGCAGCCACCCAGGGGCCUGGCAGAAGCACUCGGGUGGUCUAACAAGGUCCUUCUGACGCUUGCAUUGAGAGCAUCCGGAGCACUGCAGCCAGAAGAGAGCACGAUCAUGAAGUCUAAUUGCCCAUUUUACAGAUGGGGAAACUGAGGUCCAGAGAAGUUUAACUGCCUGGCCCCAGCUUCUGCAGCUAGUCAGUAAUGUAAUUAUUCAGUCCAUCAACAAACACGUGUUGAGCUCCUGCCCUGUGCCACCCACCAUUGUGAGCGCUAGGGACAGUCUCUGCCUUGGUGGGGCUUACAUUCCAUUGGGCAGCAAUGUAAAAGAAAUUUGUAAGCAAGUAGCUAAGUGCAGGUAGAGACGAGGGCUGGGCAGAGAGCCAGAUGGGGUGAUGGGCGGGGCAGAGGCUGGGGGUGAGGGUGGUCAGGGAAUACCUCACAAGGUGACACUGAAGCCUGAGUGGAAGUGAGGACUUGCAGGACUCCAGAGAGCUUCUCCCUACUUUACUGAAAGACAAAGGAAUGCCUUUGUUCCUGCCUAUGGGGGAAAAAAAGCCUCCGAAGAGAGGAAGGGGCUGUGAGCUCUCCUGGGGGAGAGCCGGGCUUUCUGAGCCUGGAAGCGCGUAGCUGCUGUGAGGAGCGGGGUAGCAGAUCUGGGGAUGCUCUUGUUUUGUUUUGUUUUGUUUUGUUUUCUAGUAGACUUUCUAUUUGAGAGUGGUUUUAGGUUCACAACAAAAUUGCAUAGCGAGUACAGAGAGCUCCCGUAUACCCCUUGGCCCCACCUAUUCCCCCUCUUCCCGCCCCCAACAAACAGCCUCCCUCACCAUCAACAGCACCCCCCACCAGAGAAGCGCAUCUGUUCCAGUCCGCGAACCCACUCUGACACAUCAUGAUCACCCCGUGUCCACAGUUGUCACUGAGCUUCACUCCCAGAGCCGUGCAUUCCGUGGGUUCUGACAGAUGUGUGACAGCACAUAUCCAUCAUUACAGUAGCAUACAGAGUAAUCUCCCUGCUCUGGAAAUGCCCUGUGCUCAACCUACACAUCCUUCUCUUUCUCCCUGAGCCCCCCGCCCCCAACCCCUGGCAACAACUGAUCUUUUCCCAGAAUGUCCCAUCCUUGGACUCAUAAGGUACGGAGUCUCUUCAGAUCAGCUGCUUUCACUUGCUAAUUUGCAUUUAAGUUUCCUCCAUGUCUUUUUACA
This is a long non-coding RNA of Ailuropoda melanoleuca (giant panda), 10279 nucleotides long. RefSeq lists it as uncharacterized. Lineage: Eukaryota; Metazoa; Chordata; Mammalia; Carnivora; Ursidae. The transcript has 7 exons. The record is from RefSeq and is a predicted model, not a curated record.